AGGGUAAUAGCUUAGUGGUAGAGUGUGUGCUUAGCAUGCACGAGGUCCUGGGCUCAAUCCCCAGCACCUCCA
RNAcentral lists this transfer RNA (72 nucleotides) under Camelus bactrianus (Bactrian camel). It matches the Rfam family "tRNA". From Rfam's summary of the family: Transfer RNA (tRNA) molecules are approximately 80 nucleotides in length. Their secondary structure includes four short double-helical elements and three loops (D, anti-codon, and T loops). Further hydrogen bonds mediate the characteristic L-shaped molecular structure. tRNAs have two regions of fundamental functional importance: the anti-codon, which is responsible for specific mRNA codon recognition, and the 3' end, to which the tRNAs corresponding amino acid is attached (by aminoacyl-tRNA synthetases). tRNAs cope with the degeneracy of the genetic code in two manners: having more than one tRNA (with a specific anti-codon) for a particular amino acid; and 'wobble' base-pairing, i.e. permitting non-standard base-pairing at the 3rd anti-codon position. RNAcentral also lists the same sequence under 2 other names. The record is from Rfam by way of RNAcentral. Lineage: Eukaryota; Metazoa; Chordata; Mammalia; Artiodactyla; Camelidae.